This 507-nucleotide ribosomal RNA is filed under the name uncultured bacterium. RNAcentral describes it as "bacterial SSU rRNA". It matches the Rfam family "Bacterial small subunit ribosomal RNA", at positions 25 to 518 of the family's 1533-position model. The record is from RNAcentral.
CAGGACGAACGCUGGCGGCGUGCCUAACACAUGCAAGUCGAGCGGGGACGAUGCGACGGAAGAGAAGUUUCGGAUGGAUCUGAAGAUGUAUGUUCUAGCGGCGGACGGGUGAGUAACGCGUGAGCAACCUGUCCUUCACAGGGGGAUAACACAGCGAAAGUUGUACUAAUACCGCAUAAGACCACGGAGAGACAUCUCUCAGGGGUCAAAGGAGCAAUCCGGUGAAGGGUGGGCUCGCGUCCGAUUAGAUAGUUGGUGAGGUAACGGCCCACCAAGUCGACGAUCGGUAGCCGACCUGAGAGGGUGAUCGGCCACAUUGGGACUGAGACACGGCCCAAACUCCUACGGGAGGCAGCAGUGGGGAAUAUUGGGCAAAUGGGGGAAACCCUGACCCAGCAACGCCGCGUGAGGGAAGAAGGUUUUCGGAUCGUAAACCUCUGUCCCAGGUGAAGAGCAAGAGACGGUAACCUGGGAGGAAGCCCCGGCUAACUACGUGCCAGCCGCCGC